This is a non-coding RNA of Lasiosphaeria ovina, 74 nucleotides long. The record is from the annotation of a GenBank genome assembly. NCBI's taxonomy places the organism in Eukaryota, Fungi, Ascomycota, Sordariomycetes, Sordariales, Lasiosphaeriaceae.
UCUCCCGUAGCGCAAUUGGCUAGCGCGCCAGACUGUUAAUAUGGAGGUUCUAAGUUCAAGCCUUAGCGGAGGAG